CCUACGGGUGGCAGCAGUGAGGAAUAUUGGUCAAUGGGCGGGAGCCUGAACCAGCCAAGUCGCGUGAGGGAAGACGGUCCUAUGGAUUGUAAACCUCUUUAGGCGGGGAGCAAUGCCGGGCACGCGUGCCCGGAGGGAGAGUACCCGGAGAAUAAGCAUCGGCUAACUCCGUGCCAGCAGCCGGGGUAAUAGGGAGGAUGCGAGCGUUACCCGGUUUUAUUGGGUUAAAGGGGUGCGUAGGCGGAUUUUUAAGUCAGCGGGAAAGUGUGCGGGCUCAACCCGGGCCGGCCGUUGAAACUGGGGAUCUUGAGUGGGCGAGAGGUAUGCGGAAUGCGUGGUGUAGCGGUGAAAUGCCUAGAUAUCACGCAGAACUCCGAUUGCGAAGGCAGCAUACCGGCGCCCGACUGACGCUGAGGCACGAAAGCGUGGGGAUCGAACAGGAUUAGAUACCCUGGUAGUC
Molecule: ribosomal RNA, 460 nt
Filed under: uncultured bacterium
Lineage: Bacteria
Description: partial 16S ribosomal RNA
Rfam family: Bacterial small subunit ribosomal RNA
Source: RNAcentral